Aegilops tauschii subsp. strangulata is the source of this 2853-nucleotide RNA transcript. RefSeq lists it as uncharacterized. The record is from RefSeq and is a predicted model, not a curated record. Lineage: Eukaryota; Viridiplantae; Streptophyta; Magnoliopsida; Poales; Poaceae.
CCCCAUACCCCUUCUUCCUCUUCCCCAGACGGGGAGACCCCACCUCCCCCUUCCGCCUCCCCUUUCUGCUUCUCCAUAGCACGGAGACCUCCCACCUCCACGGAGCAGCACCACCGCCGCCACCGCCGCUCGCGCUCGCUGAGCGCUGCCUUCGCGCCUUUGCUGGUUUCAUCUGCCUCCCUCCUCGCGUUCUUAGACAAGAAAGUCGUUCUUGGCUUUGAUCAAUUUUGGUCUGAGCGGAGGGGCAGCUCAUGGUCGUAACCCGGUGAGGGCGGCGGCGGUUCCGGGAUGGGAAGCGUCGGUGGAGAGGAGGAGUUCCCCGCCGGCGUGACGGGGGCGGACGCGGAGGUGGGGGCGCUAGUCUGGGUGCGCCGCCGCAACGGAUCCUGGUGGCCCGGCCGGAUCCUUGGCCAGGACGAGUUACCCGAGAACUGCGUGGUUCCACCGCGCUCUGCAGGCACACCCAUCAAGCUCCUCGGCCGCCCGGACGGCAGCAUUGACUGGUAUAAUCUCGAGAAAUCUAAGCGUGUGAAGGCAUUCCGGUGUGGUGAGUAUGAAGAGUGUAUAGAAAAAGCGAAAAUUUUGGCUCGCCAGCAAAAGAGAACCUACAAUGAAGGAAAGUAUGUUCGCAGGGAGGAUGCCAUUAUGCACGCCCUUGAAAUAGAAAGAUCUCGCUUUCCAGAUGAAGAUGAGAUGGACGAUGCUAUGUGUGCAUCUGAGAACAGGUAUUCUGCAAACUCUAGAAACAUAGGUGGAGCCAGCAGAAUAUCUUCUCGCGUUGAAAGGGGUCUGUAUGAUAUUGAAGAAAACUCAGCUCAAGGUUUAUCUGAAGCGUCAACAUUUUUCAAGCUGCCACAAAAUAUAUCCUCUUCAAGUACUAGGUAUGCUUCAUCGUCAAGGAAGAAACGGAAGGCAUCAAACAAAUUUGAGGAUGACACAGUCAAAGGAUUCCGGCGUAUGAGAGACCUUAUUGGAUCAAACAGGACCCCGAAACAGAAGUCAAGUGCUGGUUCUUUUUCAAAUGGGUAUCAUGAUUUACCUCAUCUUGAAAGUGGGCCAAGCUUUGGCUAUGAGUUGCCUAGCACAAAUGGAAUAAACAAGAAUAAGCAGUCUCAUUCAUUGACAAAAAGGAAACGCUCCAAUAUUGGUCAAGCUUAUGAAAAUUCAAGAAAGAAAGAUAAGCGACGUCCUUUGUCAAAGUUAUGUAAAGAUUCAGCAGUGAAAGUUCCAACAUAUUGGGACGCUUCAGGACAGUCUUCUGUCCAGUCCCCUGGACACAAACUGUCGAACGUGUUUGAAUCAAAUUGGGGGGAUUUUCUUUGCCAGGAAAUUUAAAUUGUUCUUACAGCUCGGGCACUUCAAGUGUGGAGACUUUAGCAGAUGCCUUAUGUACUAGUCGCAAUGGUGCUACCAAAGCUUCUAAACUAAAGGAAGCUGAAGUCUUGGACGGGACUGGGUUUCUUAGUGAUGGCUGCUCUGAUGAUGAUGAUGAGUUUCUUGAUGCUCACCGUACUAUGGAGGAUGAUGUCACAGCAGAAGGCCAUCUGCACACACAUGGAUCGUGUGCAUCUGUAAAGGAUGAGACCUUAAAAGGCAAGACACAAAUUACUGACUAUAGCAGAGAACACAUACCCUUACUUCGUGAUAAUACAAGUUCCAAGAAGAAAAACAUACAGGUAGCUCCAGUAAGCUGCAACAUGGAUGAAAGUUUGAUGGUGGAACAAUAUGGAAGGACAAUAAAAUGCAAGGAACAAGAUGAAGAUGUUACUGGGUUGGAUGCACGAGUCGGAAGUGCUAGUGAUCCUGGGAGUAGCAUGAAAUUUGUGCUGGUUCCUCCAGAUGAUGGUGCUGGCGUUAUGGGGCAACAAUAUUAUGAAAGCGGACCCGAGCAUGAUGAGUCAUUUGAAACUCUAAGCAACCAUUCACACUCUGAAAAGGUUGGGGCAGCAUCCCCAUAUUAUGGGUCACCGCUUAAAGUAAUACUGCCUGAGCAGAAACCUGAUAUGAAAUCUACAAGAUGCCAUGUGGUAAAGCCAAUGAAGAGUGUACAAGCAGACUAUAAACUUUAUGAUGUUGAGUUGGCAGUCGAAGGAACCUACAAGGGCCACCGUGCACCUCUUGUUUCUCUGACAAGUAAAUGGAACCGUAAACCUGUUAUGGGGUUUCCUGUACCUGUUGUUGUUUUGGAUGAUAGUUGUCCUGUGGAAAGUAGAGAUAAUCACCAUCUGGCAAAGAACAGUCUUACCAACUUGCUAAAGAGGAGCGAAGUUGCAGAACCGCGCCAGCCAAGAUCGGCACAUUCAUCUAAAUCAAAACUUGGUGGCCGUAAAAAGGUCUCGGAGCAUGAUAUUGAUAAGUCCUGGCGGCCACAUACCAAGAAAUCAGCAUCUUCACCAAGGAAAAUGCGCAGGCUCUCAUCUUUUGGCAGCAGCCGUAGAGAAAGCUCAAACAGAAAUACUGUAGUUCGAAAAAUUGGCGGGCCAACUAUUGCGUGCAUCCCGGUUCGACUUGUUUUCAGUAGGAUCAAUGAAGCAUUAAGCUUUCAUGUGAGAUCAGAGAACACUAGCUGAGGUGCUCUGCCAGGACUUAAUUAAAGAGAGCCUCCGAUCAUACACUUUCUAGCUUUUCAUGUACAUUAGUCGCCAUAAUUUUUUAAAGCUUGAUGCCUGGCAUGUUUAUAUGACUAUUAUGUGCUUGUAAUCCAUAAGUGAUGUAGGCAAUUGUUACUUACCCACCGUGAGUGUUGGGUGAGACUUCCAUGGUGGAAGGAAAUAAGCAGCAUCAGUAAUUUUGCGCUGAUGGUGUUGAAGCAGGGAAGGAAAUAAGCAGAUGUAGUAUUUCUUUUCGCUGAUA